RNAcentral lists this ribosomal RNA (275 nucleotides) under uncultured prokaryote. RNAcentral describes it as "partial 16S ribosomal RNA". It matches the Rfam family "Bacterial small subunit ribosomal RNA", at positions 524 to 798 of the family's 1533-position model. The record is from RNAcentral.
UACGUAGGGGGCGAGCGUUGUCCGGAUUUAUUGGGCGUAAAGGGUUCGUAGGCGGCCUUUUAGGUCAGAUGUGAAAUCCCAUAGCUCAACUAUAGGUAAGCAUUUGAAACUGGAAGGCUUGAGUUAAGGAGAGGAAAGUGGAAUUCCUAGUGUAGCGGUGAAAUGCGUAGAUAUAUGGAGGAACACCAGUGGCGAAGGCGACUCUCUGGUCUGUAACUGACGCUGAGGCUCGAAAGCGUGGGGAGCAAACAGGAUUAGAUACCCCUGUAGUCCCU